CUAGAAUAAAAGUAGUUAAGUUCUUCAUAACUCAAAGAUUUUGGCGGCUAAUUAUAUUUUAGAGGAACCUGUGAUUUAAUUGAUAAACCACGAUAAUUUAAACCUUUAUUCUUGUUUGUAUACCUCUAUAUUUAUGAAUGUUUUAUAAGAAUAAUUUUCUUUUAGUUAGAACUUAAAUUUUAGGUCAAGGUGCAGUUUUAUGAAGGUAAUUAUGGGUUAUAUAAAUUAUAAAUUAAUAUUAAAAAUUUUUAAAUUUGUAUUUAGAAUUUAAUAGUAAAUUAAAUAAAUUUAUUUAAUUGAAUUUUU
RNAcentral lists this ribosomal RNA (306 nucleotides) under Cladonota sp. CPL-2004. RNAcentral describes it as "partial 12S small subunit ribosomal RNA". Lineage: Eukaryota; Metazoa; Arthropoda; Insecta; Hemiptera; Membracidae. The record is from RNAcentral.